UACUAACAACGAUUAGUUAUUAAACAUCCCUAAGGCCUGGGGUUCCUGGCGGGAGGUUACCUCCCCUCACUCUUCCUGUAGACAGACGUCCCUUCAUUUCAGCCUACCAACCACGGAAUGUGGCUACCAUUAAAUUUCCAGUUUGCAAAUGAAGUAAACUUGAGUCAAAGAGCUUGAAGACUUGCUACACGGUCAGGAUUUGAACCCACAACUGUGGCUCUAGCGCGCAGGUUCCAAACUACUUUCCUGUGCCUAACUCCCUGUGAUGGGGCGGGUCCAACCUCGCUCACCCCUUCCAGCCCUUCCUAGACCCAGUGGAGGCAACCGGCACCCACGGCGUCCUUAUUGGUUUUUCUCGGAGAAAAGAUCUCUCAGUCCCUCCUCCCAGUACCCUGGCUGAGUGUGUCCAGCUGCUGUGGUCACCCAAGGUUAAUGAUUGCUGGACUCGGCGGUGAGCCAGGUCCCAGCAUAUUGCAGACCCCAGCGGGGGCCUCUGCCCUAGGGAACAUCCGAGCUGCUUUGCCCGUUGAACCUGCCCGGAGUCACACGUGUGCUUCCACCUGGGCCCCAGGCUUGCACCGAAGUGCGCAGGAGGGGUCUGCAGCUGGGCUCUUCUUUCUGCCUUGUCUCCUGGCUAACCCCCUUCCCCUCCCGACGACGCUGGAGCUGGGAUGAGGGGGAGGCCUUCUUGGCGGGAAUCUUGGGAAGGAGGAGGGAAAAGAAUGGCCAGAGGAAAUUGCAGGCAUAGCUGUAGGCGCUGCCUGAAGCCUGAAGACUGUUAACCCCUUCCCUGUUGAAGCUGCAGACCCCGACUCCCCCAAGCCAGCCUGGGUUCAAGGAGGGGUCAAGAGGAGCUGGAGAAAGGACCAGGCUGGCUCAGACCUGGGUAUAUUUGUGACUGUUUAGUCUGCUUUGCCAGCAUGUGUUGGCCCAUGUGUCCUUACCUAUUUGCAUAUAACUAUAACGAUUUCUCAGCGUUUAGUGUGUGACGAGUACAGUCAGUAGUAGAUGCCUGGCCUCUCCUAAAAAUGGAAGGUUAGAAGCCCUCAGGAGGCAGGCAUCUUCAAGGGCCUCAUGAGGUGCUGUGAAGGUGGUGGAAUGCAUUAAUGUGACAGGGGACAUCUUGGGCAGCUCUCACAAGGACAGCCCAGUCUAGAUUAGAUGUGACUCAUCCUUGGGGAAACAGAGACGGAAACAAAGGGAGUAUUGAGAUGUCUGAGAUGUCGCUGGACUCUGCGGACUGAUGCACACUAAUGGAGUGCUAUCUCCUUCAGCCGGCUACUGGUGGUUAAGCACAUGAAGUGACUCUGUGACCCUGAUGACUCAGAAGCAGAGAGCUACUCAGAGUUCCGGAGAAGGCUGGAGAGGUGGCUCAGCGGCUAAGAGCACUGACUGCUCUCCCACAGGUCCUGAGUUCAAUCCCCAGCAUCUACAUGGUGGCUCACAACCAUCUGUAGUGGGAUCUGAUGCCCUCUUCUGGUGUGUGUCUGAAGACAGCGACAGUGUACUCACAUACAUAAAACAAAUAAAUAAAUAUUUAAAAAAGAAGAAGUCAAAGUUCUGGAGAAGGUACCUAAAGCCUUCAGCUGAGAUGGCUGUCCCCAGUGGCUGCCCCUGCCAGCCAUAGUUUUGUGCAGCCUCUCAUUUCUCGCUGGUGGCUGGAAUCAUCCAUUUAAUCUGCCCGUUUUGUCUGCAUCCUGCAACCUGCAGAUCUCUGCUUGUUUGACCAGAGCUCCUCUGCUUGCCUGAUCACUUGUCCUUUGGCUGGCCCAUCUCUGCCCUCCUAACUGUGAUAUCUGUGAGAUCAGGGAUUGGUCAUCUUGGAAAGGCCCAGAGAGGAAACAGGAAAGUCCUAGCUGCCUGGAUGAAGAUACAGAACUCUCAGCGUGCCUUCUUCCUUGUUCUCACCAUGAUGAUGACGGACUGAACCUCUGGACCUGAGUCCAAACUGGUUUCCUGUCAGCUGGAGCCGGAGAGUCAGCCAUGGUUAGCAAGAGACCAGAACCACUGAAGUGAAACCUUCAUUUUACUGAGGUAGUGAUGCUGGUCAGUCAGAGCCGGGGAAACAGCUGUACUUCACGAUGGCUGGACUUGGUAACGUGUAAGAGUCUCUCAGGUUGGUUUUGAAGGCACGAAGAGGUUGUGGAGGAUAGCUGAGUCUCCACCUGGGAGAGGCCAGGAAAGGCCAUUGGUCAACAAACAAACAUUCAGCCUCAGUUACAGUGAAAACCCCAGAAUUGAAGGGGUCAUGGAGAGAGGCUGAGGCUUGGCACCGUGUCCCUGAUAUCAAAGUCCCUGAAUAGAAUCCAGGAGGGGGUGAAGGUGCAGCCCGAGGAGACCCCCAGCAUAUUGGAGAUGUCAGGAUCGUGGGGCAUUUGCCAGAGCAGAGAGCAGAUCAAGACAAGCAGAGUGAGGAGCUGGGGAAUGGAGCUGCCAGGGCCCUUUCGAAGCCCAGAGGAUCGGGAGUGGAUCUCAGGAGCCCACAGUUCACAGAGACUUGGGAUGUUUAAAAAAAAGAAAUGGAUAUGUUACAGAGACGAAGCUUUAAAAAUCUUGAAAAUUGCAAAGACUGUGGGACUUAACAAAAAAAACCAAAAAACAAAAAACAUAAAACAAAAAACACUGUACAGUUGGGUUAGGUGCGGUGGCUCGCGUCUUUAGACCCAGAGUGCAGGAGGCAGAAUAGAUGAGUCUCUUUGUGUUCUGGGCCAGCUAGGGCUCCAUAGUGAGACCAUCUCAAAAAUAACAGCCAGCCAUGGGUAUACCCGCCUUUCAUCCCUGCACUUGAAAAGCAGAGGCAGGCAGACCUCUAUGGGUUUAAGAUGGCUGGAUUAGCCUACAUAGUGAGUUGUGGGAGAGCAGAGCUUCAUACAUGGAUGGACCCUUUUGAAAUAAUAAAACAAACAAACAAACAAAAAACAACAAUGAA
Rattus norvegicus (Norway rat) is the source of this 2929-nucleotide non-coding RNA. NCBI's taxonomy places the organism in Eukaryota, Metazoa, Chordata, Mammalia, Rodentia, Muridae. The record is from RefSeq and is a predicted model, not a curated record.